UCAUUACCGCAAUGGAUAGCGCGUUGGACUUGAAAUUUAAAGGUCGUGUGUUAAAAUCGCACGGUGAAAU
Non-coding RNA from Trichonephila clavata, 70 nucleotides. NCBI's taxonomy places the organism in Eukaryota, Metazoa, Arthropoda, Arachnida, Araneae, Nephilidae. The record is from the annotation of a GenBank genome assembly.